RNAcentral lists this ribosomal RNA (1490 nucleotides) under Lacticaseibacillus rhamnosus. RNAcentral's name for it is "bacterial SSU rRNA". It matches the Rfam family "Bacterial small subunit ribosomal RNA". Lineage: Bacteria; Bacillati; Bacillota; Bacilli; Lactobacillales; Lactobacillaceae. The record is from RNAcentral.
GAUGAACGCUGGCGGCGUGCCUAAUACAUGCAAGUCGUACGAGUUCUGAUUAUUGAAAGUGCUUGCAUCUUGAUUUAAUUUUGAACGAGUGGCGGACGGCUGAGUAACACGUGGUUAACCUGCCCUUAAGUGGGGGAUAACAUUUGUAAACAGAUGCUAAUACCGCAUAAAUCCUGGAACCGCAUGGUUCUUGGCUGAAAGAUGGCGUAAGCUAUCGCUUUUGGAUGGACCCGCGGCGUAUUAGCUAGUUGGUGAGGUAACGGCUCACCAAGGCAAUGAUACGUAGCCGAACUGAGAGGUUGAUCGGCCACAUUGGGACUGAGACACGGCCCCUCUUCUACGGGAGGCAGCAGUAGGGAAUCUUCCACAAUGGACGCAAGUCUGAUGGAGCAACGCCGCGUGAGUGAAGAAGGCUUUCGGGUCGUAAAACUCUGUUGUUGGAGAAGAAUGGUCGGCAGAGUAACUGUUGUCGGCGUGACGGUAUCCAACCAGAAAGCCACGGCUAACUACGUGCCAGCAGCCGCGGUAAUACGUAGGUGGCAAGCGUUAUCCGGAUUUAUUGGGCGUAAAGCGAGCGCAGGCGGUUUUUUAAGUCUGAUGUGAAAGCCCUCGGCUUAACCGAGGAAGUGCAUCGGAAACUGGGAAACUUGAGUGCAGAAGAGGACAGUGGAACUCCAUGUGUAGCGGUGAAAUGCGUAGAUAUAUGGAAGAACACCAGUGGCGAAGGCGGCUGUCUGGUCUGUAACUGACGCUGAGGCUCGAAAGCAUGGGUAGCGAACAGGAUUAGAUACCCUGGUAGUCCAUGCCGUAAACGAUGAAUGCUAGGUGUUGGAGGGUUUCCGCCCUUCAGUGCCGCAGCUAACGCAUUAAGCAUUCCGCCUGGGGAGUACGACCGCAAGGUUGAAACUCAAAGGAAUUGACGGGGGCCCGCACAAGCGGUGGAGCAUGUGGUUUAAUUCGAAGCAACGCGAAGAACCUUACCAGGUCUUGACAUCUUUUGAUCACCUGAGAGAUCAGGUUUCCCCUUCGGGGGCAAAAUGACAGGUGGUGCAUGGUUGUCGUCAGCUCGUGUCGUGAGAUGUUGGGUUAAGUCCCGCAACGAGCGCAACCCUUAUGACUAGUUGCCAGCAUUUAGUUGGGCACUCUAGUAAGACUGCCGGUGACAAACCGGAGGAAGGUGGGGAUGACGUCAAAUCAUCAUGCCCCUUAUGACCUGGGCUACACACGUGCUACAAUGGAUGGUACAACGAGUUGCGAGACCGCGAGGUCAAGCUAAUCUCUUAAAGCCAUUCUCAGUUCGGACUGUAGGCUGCAACUCGCCUACACGAAGUCGGAAUCGCUAGUAAUCGCGGAUCAGCACGCCGCGGUGAAUACGUUCCCGGGCCUUGUACACACCGCCCGUCACACCAUGAGAGUUUGUAACACCCGAAGCCGGUGGCGUAACCCUUUUAGGGAGCGAGCCGUCUAAGGUGGGACAAAUGAUUAGGGUG